GUACACGCUGUGACUAGCAUAUCAAUAAGCGGAGGAAAAGAAACUAACAAGGAUUCCCUUAGUAACGGCGAGUGAAGCGGGAAGAGCUCAAAUUUGAAAUCUUCAAGGUUUUACCUUGACGAAUUGUAGUUUAAAGAAGUGUUUUCUGCUGAAGUUUUGGUAAAAGUUCUUUGGAAUAGGACAUCAUAGAGGGUGAGAAUCCCGUAUUUGACCAUUAUUUUCAGCUCUUGUGAUACACUUUCAAAGAGUCGGAUUGUUUGGGAAUGCAGUCCAAAAUGGGUGGUAAAUUUCAUCUAAAGCUAAAUAUUGGCGAGAGACCGAUAGCGAACAAGUACCGUGAGGGAAAGAUGAAAAGAACUUUGAAAAGAGAGUUAAACAGUACGUGAAAUUGUCAAAAGGGAAGCGUUUGACACCAGUGUUGUUUUCUCGAAAAUCAAUUAAAAAUGGCUCGAUUUUGUAUUGUUGAGACCUUAAAAGCUCACUGUACAUUUUUCGUGUCUUUUUUAAUGCACUUUUCGUUUAACAAGUCAACAUCAGUUUCUUUUGUUGUAAAAGGGUCAUUGGAAGGUGGCUUUCUUUUCGGAGAAAGUGUUUAUAGCCUUUGGCCUCUGCAAUCGAAGAGACUGAGGUCUGCAGCGUAGACUCUUCGGGGUUAGAUACAUUUGUGCUAAGUUAUAGCUUUUUAUAGACGACUUGUUGACUAUAAUUAGUCUUGUAGCUUACUCGCUUAUGCUAUUUUACCUACGCUUAGGAUGUUGAACUACUGAGACAUAGA
RNAcentral lists this ribosomal RNA (775 nucleotides) under uncultured Neocallimastigales. RNAcentral describes it as "partial large subunit ribosomal RNA". It matches the Rfam family "Eukaryotic large subunit ribosomal RNA", at positions 22 to 634 of the family's 3401-position model. Lineage: Eukaryota; Fungi; Neocallimastigomycota; Neocallimastigomycetes; Neocallimastigales. The record is from RNAcentral.